CUCUCUCUCUCUCUCUCUCUCGGUAGAAUUUUGGUUUUGACCUUUAUUUUCUAAAAAUUGGAGCAUUGGUAUGUUUAGUGAAAGCUUUUCCAUCAAUAGAAAAUUAUGUCUAGUACGUAUAUCUUUGUAUAUUUUGGUAAUGAAAUUUGGAAACCCAUCUAUUAAAAUGCGGAUAACGGGAGAAACUAAUGUCAAAUUUGUGGUUUCAUAUUCAGCAUAAACAACUUUGGAAAUGCAGUUCAAAGUGCUUGAUGUUUUUGUGCUUGUGAUGCACCCCAUGGUCUCUGGUCUGUCAACCUAUAUUAUUUAAAUUCAAUUGCUUUAUUUCUUCUCAAUCUUAUCUGCCAUGAAUUCUAUUGGAAAAAUUAAGCAUGCAAUUUGCAAUUAAGCAAAUAUUUUUUUGUGCAG
Molecule: unclassified non-coding RNA, 408 nt
Filed under: Hevea brasiliensis (rubber tree)
Lineage: Eukaryota; Viridiplantae; Streptophyta; Magnoliopsida; Malpighiales; Euphorbiaceae
Source: RNAcentral